This 64-nucleotide non-coding RNA is filed under the name Hyphomicrobiales bacterium. Its description in RNAcentral is "Rhizobiales bacterium Fluoride sequence". It matches the Rfam family "Fluoride riboswitch aptamer (crcB RNA motif)". The record is from RNAcentral. Lineage: Bacteria; Pseudomonadati; Pseudomonadota; Alphaproteobacteria; Hyphomicrobiales.
UGACAUAUCGGGGAUGGAGUCCCCCCUAAACCGCCGUUGGACGGCUGAUGACUCCUGCCAUGCU